Molecule: unclassified non-coding RNA, 335 nt
Filed under: soil metagenome
Description: partial contains 5.8S ribosomal RNA, internal transcribed spacer 2, and large subunit ribosomal RNA
Rfam family: 5.8S ribosomal RNA (bases 1-121)
Source: RNAcentral
GAUGAAGAACGUAGCGAAAUGCGAUAAGUAAUGCGAAUUGCAGAAUUCCAGUGAGUCAUCGAAUCUUUGAACGCACAUUGCGCCCAUUGGUAUUCCGAUGGGCAUGCCUGUUCGAGCGUCAUUUCAACCAUCAAGCCCCAGGCUUGUGUUGGAGCCCUGCGGCUGCCGCAGCCUCCCAAAACCAGUGGCGGGCUCGCUAUCACACCGAGUGCAGUAGUUUACUCUUCGCUCAGGGCGUGUGGCGGGUGCUAGCCGUGAAACCCCCAACUUCUCAAGGUUGACCUCGGAUCAGGUAGGAAUACCCGCUGAACUUAAGCAUAUCAAUAAGCGGAGGA